AGUGAACGCUGGCGGUAGGCCUAACACAUGCAAGUCGAACGGCAGCACAGUAAGAGCUUGCUCUUACGGGUGGCGAGUGGCGGACGGGUGAGGAAUACAUCUGACUCUACUUUUUCGUGGGGGAUAACGUAGGGAAACUUACGCUAAUACCGCAUACGACCUACGGGUGAAAUCAGGGGAUCUUCGGACCUUGCGCGAUUGAAUGAGCCGAUGUCGGAUUAGCUAGUUGGCGGGGUAAAGGCCCACCAAGGCGACGAUCCGUAGCUGGUCUGAGAGGAUGAUCAGCAACACUGGAACUGAGACACGGUCCAGACUCCUACGGGAGGCAGCAGUGGGGAAUAUUGGACAAUGGGCGCAAGCCUGAUCCAGCCAUACCGCGUGGGUGAAGAAGGCCUUCGGGUUGUAAAGCCCUUUUGUUGGGAAAGAAAAGCAGCAGGUUAAUACCCCGCUGUUCUGACGGUACCCAAAGAAUAAGCACCGGCUAACUUCGUG
Molecule: ribosomal RNA, 492 nt
Filed under: uncultured bacterium
Lineage: Bacteria
Description: partial 16S ribosomal RNA
Rfam family: Bacterial small subunit ribosomal RNA
Source: RNAcentral